RNAcentral lists this ribosomal RNA (540 nucleotides) under Salmonella enterica subsp. enterica serovar Typhimurium. RNAcentral describes it as "partial 23S ribosomal RNA". It matches the Rfam family "Bacterial large subunit ribosomal RNA", at positions 1 to 571 of the family's 2925-position model. RNAcentral also lists the same sequence under 1 other name. Lineage: Bacteria; Pseudomonadati; Pseudomonadota; Gammaproteobacteria; Enterobacterales; Enterobacteriaceae. The record is from RNAcentral.
GGGUUGUGAGGUUAAGCGACUAAGCGUACACGGUGGAUGCCCUGGCAGUCAGAGGCGAUGAAGGACGUGCUAAUCUGCGAUAAGCGCCGGUAAGGUGAUAUGAACCGUUAUAACCGGCGAUUUCCGAAUGGGGAAACCCAGUGUGAUUCGUCACACUAUCAUUAACUGAAUCCAUAGGUUAAUGAGGCGAACCGGGGGAACUGAAACAUCUAAGUACCCCGAGGAAAAGAAAUCAACCGAGAUUCCCCCAGUAGCGGCGAGCGAACGGGGAGGAGCCCAGAGCCUGAAUCAGCAUGUGUGUUAGUGGAAGCGUCUGGAAAGGCGCGCGAUACAGGGUGACAGCCCCGUACACAAAAGCGCAUGUGCUGUGAGCUCGAUGAGUAGGGCGGGACACGUGGUAUCCUGUCUGAAUAUGGGGGGACCAUCCUCCAAGGCUAAAUACUCCUGACUGACCGAUAGUGAACCAGUACCGUGAGGGAAAGGCGAAAAGAACCCCGGCGAGGGGAGUGAAAAAGAACCUGAAACCGUGUACGUACAAGC